CACAUGCAAGUCGAGGGGCAGCAGGAUCUUGCAAUAGAUUGCUGGCGACCGGCGCACGGGUGAGUAACACGUAUCCAACCUGCCGAUAACUCGGGGAUAGCCUUUCGAAAGAAAGAUUAAUACACGAUGGUAUAAUCAGACCGCAUGGUCUUGUUAUUAAAGAAUUUCGGUUAUCGAUGGGGAUGCGUUCCAUUAGGCAGUUGGUGAGGUAACGGCUCACCAAACCUUCGAUGGAUAGGGGUUCUGAGAGGAAGGUCCCCCACAUUGGAACUGAGACACGGUCCAAACUCCUACGGGAGGCAGCAGUGAGGAAUAUUGGUCAAUGGGCGCAGGCCUGAACCAGCCAAGUAGCGUGAAGGAUGACUGCCCUAUGGGUUGUAAACUUCUUUUAUAUGGGAAUAAAGUUUUCCACGUGUGGAAUUUUGUAUGUACCAUAUGAAUAAGGAUCGGCUAACUCCGUGCCAGCAGCCGCGGUAAUACGGAGGAUCCGAGCGUUAUCCGGAUUUAUUGGGUUUAAAGGGAGCGUAGGUGGACAGUUAAGUCAGUUGUGAAAGUUUGCGGCUCAACCGUAAAAUUGCAGUUGAUACUGGCUGUCUUGAGUACAGUAGAGGUGGGCGGAAUUCGUGGUGUAGCGGUGAAAUGCUUAGAUAUCACGAAGAACUCCGAUUGCGAAGGCAGCUCACUGGACUGCAACUGACACUGAUGCUCGAAAGUGUGGGUAUCAAACAGGAUUAGAUACCCUGGUAGUCCACACAGUAAACGAUGAAUACUCGCUGUUUGCGAUAUACAGUAAGCGGCCAAACGAAAGCAUUAAGUAUUCCACCUGGGGAGUACGCCGGCAACGGUGAAACUCAAAGGAAUUGACGGGGGCCCGCACAAGCGGAGGAACAUGUGGUUUAAUUCGAUGAUACGCGAGGAACCUUACCCGGGCUUAAAUUGCAUUUGAAUAUAUUGGAAACAGUAUAGCCGUAAGGCAAAUGUGAAGGUGCUGCAUGGUUGUCGUCAGCUCGUGCCGUGAGGUGUCGGCUUAAGUGCCAUAACGAGCGCAACCCUUAUCUUUAGUUACUAACAGGUCAUGCUGAGGACUCUAGAGAGACUGCCGUCGUAAGAUGUGAGGAAGGUGGGGAUGACGUCAAAUCAGCACGGCCCUUACGUCCGGGGCUACACACGUGUUACAAUGGGGGGUACAGAAGGCAGCUACCUGGUGACAGGAUGCUAAUCCCAAAAGCCUCUCUCAGUUCGGAUCGAAGUCUGCAACCCGACUUCGUGAAGCUGGAUUCGCUAGUAAUCGCGCAUCAGCCAUGGCGCGGUGAAUACGUUCCCGGGCCUUGUACACACCGCCCGUCAAGCCAUGAAAGCCGGGGGUACCUGAAGUACGUAACCGCAAGGAGCGUCCUAGGGUAAAACUGGUAAUUGGGGCUAAGUC
This 1426-nucleotide ribosomal RNA is filed under the name uncultured organism. Its description in RNAcentral is "SSU rRNA". It matches the Rfam family "Bacterial small subunit ribosomal RNA". The record is from RNAcentral.